GCCAGGCACAGUGGCGUGUGCCUGUAGUGCCAGCUACUCAGGAGGCUGAGGCUAGAGGAUUGUUUGAGUCCAGGAGUUCUAGGCUGUUGCGCACUAUGCCGAUCAGGUGUCCACACUAAGUAUGACAUCACUAUGGUGAUCUCCCGGGAGCAGGGGACCACCAGGUUGCCUAAGGAGGGGUGAGCCAGCCCAGCUUGGAAACUGAGCAGGUCAAAACUCCUGUACUGAUCAGUAGAGGGGUUGUGCCUGUGAAUAGCCGCUGCACUCCAGACUGGGCAACAUAUCAAGACCCCAUUU
RNAcentral lists this signal recognition particle RNA (297 nucleotides) under Saimiri boliviensis boliviensis (Bolivian squirrel monkey). Its description in RNAcentral is "Metazoan signal recognition particle RNA (ENSSBOG00000003442.1)". It matches the Rfam family "Metazoan signal recognition particle RNA". Rfam says of the family: The signal recognition particle (SRP) is a universally conserved ribonucleoprotein. It is involved in the co-translational targeting of proteins to membranes. Lineage: Eukaryota; Metazoa; Chordata; Mammalia; Primates; Cebidae. The record is from Rfam by way of RNAcentral.